ACGCUCGACACCUACGGGAGCAGCAGUGGGGAAUAUUGCACAAUGGGGGAAACCCUGAUGCAGCGACGCCGCGUGAGCGAAGAAGUAUCUCGGUAUGUAAAGCUCUAUCAGCAGGGAAGAAGAUGACGGUACCUGACUAAGAAGCACCGGCUAAAUACGUGCCAGCAGCCGGACGGUAAUCUGGAGGCGGGCGUGGACGAAGGC
This 204-nucleotide ribosomal RNA is filed under the name uncultured bacterium. Its description in RNAcentral is "partial 16S ribosomal RNA". It matches the Rfam family "Bacterial small subunit ribosomal RNA", at positions 328 to 545 of the family's 1533-position model. The record is from RNAcentral.